CCAACGGCGCCUGCGCGCGCCGCGGCCGGGCGGGACCCCCGCCGCCCCGGCCCCUCGCCGCCCGCAGCGGGAGGCGGCGGCGGCCGCGAACGGCGGUGCCGAGUGUAGCCGCGGGCGAGAGGCUGGAGCGCGGCGCUGCUGGAGGCCCGGGCAGGACCGGUGUCAGAUGGCUUGGCUGAUGCAGAAGAAACCUUGAAACAUUAGACCAGCAACUGAAGAUGAGUACUGGUGUCAGACGUCUCGCUGACGAAGCCAGAUUUUUCAGACCUGUGUUUGAGAAGGCCACUUCGUUUUCAACAGCCCCCACUGUCCUGAAGCAUUUAUAGAUUUUGACAGGUCACGUGCUUUGUUCCAUCCUUGAUCAAAGUUAACAUUCUUUAAAUAUUUGGAGAUUUUUGGGGGUGGGAAGAAUGACAAGAGUGCUAGUGGUUAAAAAUGUGCGUGUGUGCGUGCACGCACACACCACUGUGAUGAACACAGGCUACUUCUGUUUCUGCUUGGUAGCAUUUUUGAUCCCACUUUAUAUUCACGUAAGCAUAAAUACCUAUCUACAAAGAGGUACAAAGGACUGGAUAGGCAGUUGCUCAUAAUGAAUCAGCCUUCAGCUGGAACUACAGAGACUUAAAUAUCUGGAGUAAAAGAUCGUAGUUGAAUGGUCACUUGAAGCCAUUACCACUUCCAGAAGCAGCUGUGCCUUCCCUAUGCUCACUGCUGUUGGGUCUGGCCCUUGCAUCAGCCUCUUUUGAAGUGGUGCAAUUGCUUGUGCAGCCACGUGGUGAGUUAAGACCGGGGAAUAGAUCUACAUCAAAACUGACCCUACCCUUUUUACCUUCUGUUGUCCUCAAAAAAAACCCACCAACAAACCCUAUCAAAGUUUGAGUGAAAGGCUGAAGAGAGGUCAGGACUGCCGCUAUCAAAACCAGGGACAGUUUGUAAAACUCCAGCCAGUUACUGGUAUGAAAUUUAGAACAAGGUAAUAGAAAACAGAUAAUUCAGUAGUGAUUGGCAGCCUUUUAUGCUUAAUAGCAAGGAAUACAUUUUUUUGUAGUCUGGUCAGCACCAGAAAAUUUCAAACUGGCUGCUGGAAUGUUGAAUAGAAAACUCAUAUUCACAGCAGUUGUAUGUUAUGUGUUUGACACACAAAUCAGGACUUCUUAUGAAAUAAUAGAGUUCAUGUAAAAAUCGAUGAUGAAAAAAAUGUUUCCUUCCAUCCCUCAGGAAACAUCAGUUUCUAUUCCCUCACAGGGAUAAUUUGCUUUAUGUUAUCAAAGCUCAUGCAUUUGUACCUGCAUCAACUACACAGUCAGGUACAUAUAUCUGAGACGUGCUAUUAGGGAGAAGAACCUGAGCAGCUGAAAGGUGGCAACCGCAACAGGAAAAAACCCCUAAACCUAAGCUUGCAUUUAGCAAAGUUCAAGCAAUCCUUCUUUAUAUGAUAAGACUUCCUUCCUCUAAAUAAAAAAAAUUACACGGUCUCCUCUUUUUCCUUUCACAGUUGUCUAGUCCUUUCCUGUCUAAGUACCUAUUCCAAAUUACGUUUGAAUUAAAAACUUUUUAAAAGGAGAGUGGGUGUCGCAUUUCAGUUAGCAUCUCUAAAUUUUGUGUGUUGGUCAUCUUUUGUCCUUCCCUGUGUGCAUCCUAUGAAUCCAGAAAAAAACAAGAGCAAAGAUCUUAGGCAGUAGCAUAUAAGAGGGCUGCAAACAACAGAAAUCUGACCUUUUCUCAGGCACUGAAGUACAGAGGGUAGACAGAAGUAUGCCAUUUUAUUGUUCAGGGGUUUGAGUAUUAGCACACCACACAUUUAAAUUUUAUAAAGGAGAAAGCAGCAUUGGAUUUUUAAUAGGAGCUACUAUGCAAGAACAGACUUCAGGGCAAGAAAAUCAUCUGGAAAUUGUCUCCAUCGGGAAAAGAAACAUAUCAGUUAAGCUCUGGGAGAUGCGGGGGAUUCUGACUUUCAGAUCCUGCUAAGAUCAGAGUUGGAUCAUCCUCCCAGUGCGAGGUAAGACACUGAAGAUACUUUGCCUCAAGACAGCAGCUCCUAUUUUUCAUUUCUUUUGUCUCAGGCCAAAGCAAGAUCAUGCUUUCACCUGUGGCAGCAGACCUUCCUUUUACCCUCUUUCCCUCCAGGCGCAGCCAUCGCUACUUGACUGUAGUCACCACUAAUAACUGUCUGUCACCAGACUUGGUUGCAGGGGUUGAUUUCACCUUUGCAUAAGUGGUUGCAAUCAUGUUCAUCCACACAGAUGUUUUACGUGCAUUGCACCAGAAAAUAUGAUCAUGUUAAUUAGGAAAAAGGCAGCAUAUGGCACUGAAAUGACAGUGCUGUAUAAAAUCCUGCUAACCUCUCAUCAUAUGCAUUAGGUGGGCUUCACAAGCUGCACCAUCUUUUGAUCUCGCUUCUAAUAAAUCUCACUAAAAUGUCACCCUCUUGAAAGCAAGACAUCAACUUAAUAGGACUUAACUGUCUUUCCCCACAGAAGAUGUCUUGAUGUGUGAGUAGCAGAAAUUGGGGAAGCUUGCUUAUGGUUGGUGGUGUCUAAUGCUUUGCCUAGCUUUGAAGUAGUACCUACUUUUUGCAAUUAAGGCAGAAUUUGUGACAGAGUUGGUAAAUCACCAUAGACAUACCCCAAAAAUAAGUAUAAAACAGGAUUAGAUUGCUAAUAUUGCUAUAAAAAUAUUUGGAAGCUUGAACUUGCAUUUUUAAAAUAAAAAUGAAAGGGGGGGAAAAACAAAGCAAACUAUGGCAACAAAAAACACAAUCGAACACUCAUCUAGAAGGUGUAGUAGUGUGUUAGGUGUGAAUUGUAAAGUAGUAUCUUCUGGAUUAAAAUGAAGAGAAUAUGAAAAAAUAAAUGCAUUCCAAAAGUGUGAAAUUCAGUUUCAAGUAUUACAACCAUAAUACUGAAGUGUGUAAUUUGAAUUUAAUGCACAAGAAAAUAUACAGAAGUUACUGUCCAAAUUUACAUGGUAAAAACCUCCAAGGAGUUAAAAAGAAAAUCAAUACAGUUUGUAUAGCUAGUAGACACAGAGUCUCUUAUUCUCAAGAUACCUGGAUUCAAUUGCUAGCAAAUCACUAAUUUGUGUAAAUUAGUAAGUCACUUAAUAUAGAUGAGAUUCAAUUAAGGAGACUUAGUCUUCCUUAAUGAUGUUUUCAGAAGUGUGAAGGGGCCUUGAUUGGAGGAGUAUAAAUACAUGCUGCCAAAAUAGACUGAGGGAGCCUUAAUGCUAAUUAGAAAUGUUUGCUCCAUGCUUUAGUUGUAAAUGUAAAGAACACCUCCUUAACCUCAUUGGGAUAUUGAAAGGAUGGUUUUACUGAUAUUUGGAAAGCUGACAAAGACCAGGGGAAGACCAACAAAGUCCUGCAAGAAGUUUCCAGCUGGUGUGAAUUGUCAGAGCAGAGACACCAGGAGGGUUGGCUCUACGAACCAGGGUUAAAGAGAGUUAUAAUCGGUAAUUAAAAAAGGAAUAACUGAAAUGAAUGUCUAUUGUGUGUUAAGACUUAACCUGACCUUUCAAACAACAUCUGCUGAAGAGUGCUUUCACCAUUACAGGCGCCUGUGUGAUGGAAUUAUACAGGAAUGCAAACAUUUCCUACAAUUUCCUCUAUCAGGCUCUUCUUUGAAGUCCUGAUCCUGCAAGUAUAGUAGAAGGCUCAAUAAUGACAAUAAGAAUACUUGUAUGUAUGUUAGAGAUACGGUGUCUGACUCACUGCUUAAAACUAGCUUUUCUGGAUGUAUGUAUGUUUAUAUAAAAUUGCACUGAAAGAGUAAAGCAUAAUGGAUCAGGUUUGAUGGUAUUACUGCGUUGAGUUUUAUCUGUGGUCACUAUACUAUCAGGAAAUAUUGUGACUGUGGUUUCUACAUCCUGAGUGGAAAUCUGGAAUUCAAUAAAAUACAGUCUCAUUACAGCA
Molecule: long non-coding RNA, 3910 nt
Organism: Tyto alba (common barn owl)
Lineage: Eukaryota; Metazoa; Chordata; Aves; Strigiformes; Tytonidae
Exons: 2
Source: RefSeq, a predicted model, not a curated record